GAAUAGUGUUUAUGCGACUUUUUCAAACAAAUAAUCUACAUCUUGCCAAAUGAAAAUUGAAUAUUGCGGAUGAGUUGCAGCAUCAAACUUAUUAGACAUAGUUUAGCACUGGAAUAGAAAUUCUUACUGUAACAUAUCGUUUGGAAAAAUCUUUUUACUUAUAUACCAAGACUAAGAGUCUUAACCCUUUGCUAUUCCUCCAUCACAUGAGGAGUUGUCAACAAGCAGUUUUAGACCUGGACAGAGCUAUUCAUUGAAAGGAAUUACAGAGUCUCGACUCCAAUGGAUGAACCGGGGUUGGCAGGAUCAAUUCUACUCAUAUUUUCCUGCACGAUGAAGCGAUUAAAUCAUUAAUUGAAAGAGCACCAAUCAUGAUACCAGUGCUUUUUGUAGCUUAAGAUAACAGAAGACUGUUCCUUGUUACCAGAUUGCUUGCUAUGUUUAUCUAACCAUAUCCAUUCAUAAUCACUCAGUUAACCUUUAUUUUGUCAAUCUCUCAGACAGACAUGUCUCUCCCUAAUACUUGCAAAUAGGAACUAAAGAUAUGGCUCAAGAAACAUAAUGUGUACAGCAAUUACUAGGAGAUGGAGAUAAGCCAAAGCAAAGAUGAUCUUGAAAUAGAAAGUUCACAGCAUCAUAGACAACACGGACAGACUAAAAGCUCGGUUACUAAACCAUAUUCUGUACAAGGACAGGCCCAAUACCUAAGAUGGGGCAACACUUGAGCAUACAUUAUUUUUGUUAAACAAGACUUGAGAACAAGAGUUUCACAACUCAGCGCAGGCGACGCACUUCAGCUCUUACGAGCCUCUUCUUCAGCCUUCUGCUAAAGAAAAGAAAUGGCGGGUGAGAAGAAAGGUCGAGCAUGAUGUUUACAAGAAAUAGACUACCAAGUACAAGUUGAUUCAGUUACUAGUUUUGAAUCUAAGCAAACUCAUUACUCGACGCAUUGCAUGCAUAUACGUUAUGUUAUUUCUGAAUUAUGUCAUAUUUUAAAAUAAUACCAACUUGAUGUAUGUAUAUGUGUGUGCACAUAUUUUUUAUGAACUCAUUUCAUGAUAAAAAUAAAAGUAAAUUAGACUAUGAUCAGUUAGCCAAAGAAUCAAAGCCAGUUCUCCUCUGUGUUAAGGAACAGUAUAGCUUUCGAUAUGAAAGAAAGAAUCAUAAGAUUGAGCAAUUUUUGCCCUCUGCCUCUCAAAAUAAUGAACAGAAAAGAGCCUACACAGAAACAUAAAUCUAACAGAUGAUAACUAACAGGUUAGAUGUAGUAGCUCUUUAUUGAAAUAUCAAAAUUUUACUUAUAAAAUUAUAGCCAUUUGUUUAAGAUAUCAAUAAUUUCUUUUAAAUUAGCAAUUUGACUGCGGAAAGGCGUACCGAUUAAGGACCGGCCGAGGUUAUUUUCUUCCUGAUUUAAUCAAGAGCAGCUCCUUAUUUUCUUUAUAAGAGGGCAAGAAUUCUAUUUAAGUUGUAAGCAUUCAGGUACAGAGUAAAAUUUUCAAAUUGGCAAUUGCCAAUAAACAGUACCACAUGUCUGAUCAGGUCACCACUAUUUUACUUUGUUUAAUAUAAAAUGAAAAAACA
This 1581-nucleotide long non-coding RNA is filed under the name Nicotiana benthamiana. RNAcentral describes it as "long non-coding RNA (NBEN_LNC022025)". The record is from RNAcentral. Lineage: Eukaryota; Viridiplantae; Streptophyta; Magnoliopsida; Solanales; Solanaceae.